GACGAACGCUGGCGGCGUGCUUAACACAUGCAAGUCGAACGAAGUAGCGAACGGGUGAGUAACGCGUAAUCAACCUGCCCUUCAGAGGGGGACAACAGUUGGAAACGACUGCUAAUACCGCAUAAUGAAGGAGGGGAUUGCGUCUGAUUAGCUAGUUGGGGGGGUAACGGCCCACCAAGGUGACUAUCAGUAGCCGGUCUUGUGAGAUGUGUCACCCCCUUGGGACUGGGACCAGGCCCAAAAGUCUACCCUGAACAACAAUUACUAAACUUCCGGAAAUCACGAAAGUCUGACGCAGCAACGCCGGGUUAGUUAUGACGUCCUUCGGGUUAUUAAACUAUUGUAAUCGGAACGCGGUACCGGAAUAGAAAGCCACGGCUAACUACGUGCCAGCAGCCGCGGUAAUUC
Molecule: ribosomal RNA, 408 nt
Filed under: uncultured bacterium
Lineage: Bacteria
Description: partial 16S ribosomal RNA
Rfam family: Bacterial small subunit ribosomal RNA
Source: RNAcentral